This 301-nucleotide ribosomal RNA is filed under the name uncultured bacterium. Its description in RNAcentral is "partial 16S ribosomal RNA". It matches the Rfam family "Bacterial small subunit ribosomal RNA", at positions 509 to 809 of the family's 1533-position model. The record is from RNAcentral.
CAGCCGCCGCGGUAAUACAGAGGGUGCGAGCGUUAAUCGGAUUUACUGGGCGUAAAGCGUGCGUAGGCGGCUUCUUAAGUCGGAUGUGAAAUCCCUGAGCUUAACUUAGGAAUUGCAUUCGAUACUGGGAAGCUAGAGUAUGGGAGAGGAUGGUAGAAUUCCAGGUGUAGCGGUGAAAUGCGUAGAGAUCUGGAGGAAUACCGAUGGCGAAGGCAGCCAUCUGGCCUAAUACUGACGCUGAGGUACGAAAGCAUGGGGAGCAAACAGGAUUAGAUACCCAAGUAGUCCCUGUCUCUUAUAA